UGGACUUCUUGGUACCUGUGCUCAGAUCUUGCAAGCACACACAGGGACAGGGCAAGGACAGUCAGCUGUGGCCUGACUUUCCUGUUAGGUCUCAGGAUACGGGGUCUUGCUCUUGCUCAGGCUGAUGUUGAACUCCUAACCUCAAAUGAUGCUCUGGCCUCAACUUCCUAAAGGGCUGGGAUUACAGACAUGAGCCACUGAGCCUGUUCUUAUUGUGGUGAUUAACUAAAAUGAUGACCGUAAAGUUUCUUGCAUAGUGCCUAGCAGAGAAGGAGCUCAGUAAAGCACUCUAGGGAUGUUGGGAGAGUUCCCCUCUGAAGACAAACACUUCCUGGUUGGCAUGUUCCACUAUGUCACCCUCUUAAAGACUUCUAGACAAGAAUUAAAGGCUCCUCGAGGACAGCAACCAUGUCAUGUCCAACUGUGUACCUGUCCCACCUGGGCAAGAGUAAGGUCUCAGCCUCUUUUUGUUCAACUGAACCAUCCUCCCCAGUAUGUGCGUUUCCAAGCAAAGUCAAGAGUUUGUAGCAUAGUUCAGCCAGGUAAGCAUCUAAAUUUGUGUGAAUUGUAUAAUGCUUAUGAUCAAUUUUAUUUUAAUCAUUUUCUCAAAGGUAAGCAACCUACACAGGAACAAGCUAGAAUUUCAUCAGCAUGUAGUUCACAUUGACAAUCUUUCUUAAGAAAUGGAUCUUUCUUCAUUAAUAUUUUUUUUCAUGAGUUGACAGUCUCUGUUUGUAUGUCUGUACCAAUAUUAGUCUUUGAUUUACUUUACAACAUAUAAUCCCUCUAAGAUUCAGUGUGUUGGCUUCAAUAAUAAUGACAUAGGAUCUAAUAGCUAAGCUAAAAUUUUAUAAAUUUGUCAUUCUUAUAAUGAGUAAAUGAUUACUUUACAAUAACAUUUCAUAUUAGGUUUCUUUAAUGACACUGAAAACACUUUAUAAACAAAGAAUUGUCAUGGCUUUAGGAGAAAAGAUCAUUUUAUCCUGGUUUUUUAGGUGAGGAAUCCAGUGCAAAGUGUUAUUAAGAAAUUCAUUCAGGGCUAUAGAGUACCAUCAGAAAAUAUAGUCAGCUCUCUGUCUCCAUGGGUGAAGCAUCUGUAGGUUCAACCAAC
Long non-coding RNA from Nycticebus coucang (slow loris), 1111 nucleotides. RefSeq lists it as uncharacterized. The record is from RefSeq and is a predicted model, not a curated record. NCBI's taxonomy places the organism in Eukaryota, Metazoa, Chordata, Mammalia, Primates, Lorisidae. The transcript is spliced from 4 exons.